UACGUAGGGUGCGAGCGUUAAUCGGAAUUACUGGGCGUAAAGCGCACGUAGGUGGCUUUUUAAGUCGGGGGUGAAAUCCUGGAGCUCAACUCCAGAACUGCCCUCGAUACUGGGAAGCUUGAGUUCGGGAGAGGUGAGUGGAACUGCGAGUGUAGAGGUGAAAUUCGUAGAUAUUCGCAAGAACACCAGUGGCGAAGGCGGCUCACUGGCCCGAUACUGACGCUGAGGUGCGAAAGCGUGGGGAGCAAACAGG
Molecule: ribosomal RNA, 253 nt
Filed under: uncultured bacterium
Lineage: Bacteria
Description: partial 16S ribosomal RNA
Rfam family: Bacterial small subunit ribosomal RNA
Source: RNAcentral